GACGAACGCUGGCGGCGUGCUUAACACAUGCAAGUCGAACGGAAAGGCCCUGCUUUUGUGGGGUGCUCGAGUGGCGAACGGGUGAGUAACACGUGAGUAACCUGCCCUUGACUUUGGGAUAACUUCAGGAAACUGGGGCUAAUACCGGAUAGGAGCUCCUGCUGCAUGGUGGGGGUUGGAAAGUUUCGGCGGUUGGGGAUGGACUCGCGGCUUAUGAGCUUGUUGGUGGGGUAGUGGCUUACCAAGGCUUUGACGGGUAGCCGGCCUGUGAGGGUGACCGGCCACAUUGGGACUGAGAUGCGGCCCAGACUCCUACGGGAGGCAGCAGUGGGGAAUAUUGCACAAUGGGCGGAAGCCUGAUGCAGCAACGCCGCGUGCGGGAUGACGGCCUUCGGGUUGUAGACCGCUUUCGCCUGUGACGAAGCGUGAGUGACGGUAAUGGGUAAAGAAGCACCGGCUAACUACGUG
RNAcentral lists this ribosomal RNA (468 nucleotides) under uncultured bacterium. RNAcentral describes it as "partial 16S ribosomal RNA". It matches the Rfam family "Bacterial small subunit ribosomal RNA", at positions 28 to 507 of the family's 1533-position model. The record is from RNAcentral.